GCUGUCGUGUGCCCGCCAGAGGACCCCAAACUCUGAAUACAGUGUCGUCUGAGUACUAUAUAAUAGUUAAAACUUUCAACAACGGAUCUCUUGGUUCUGGCAUCGAUGAAGAACGCAGCGAAAUGCGAUAAGUAAUGUGAAUUGCAGAAUUCAGUGAAUCAUCGAAUCUUUGAACGCACAUUGCGCCCCUUGGUAUUCCGGGGGGCAUGCCUCUUCCAGCGUCAUUUCACCCCUCAAGCUCUGCUUGGUUUUGGGCCGCGCCAGCAACGGCGGGCCUCGAAAAUAGUGGCGACGCCAUCGUGCUCUCAGCGUAGUAAUUCUUCUCGCUGUUGGGUCCCGGUGGUUGGUCCGCCAGCAACCCUCAACUUUCUUAAGUUUGACCUGGGAUGAGGUAGGGAUACCCGCUGAACUUAAGCAUAUCAAUAAGCGGAGGAAAAGAAACCAACAGGGAUUGCCUCAGUAACGGCGAGUGAAGCGGCAACAGCUCAAAUUUGAAAUCUGGUCCUUUCAGGUCCCGAGUUGUAAUUUGUAGAAGAUGCUUCGAGCGUGGCUCCNGUCUAAGUCCC
RNAcentral lists this ribosomal RNA (566 nucleotides) under uncultured Helotiales. Its description in RNAcentral is "eukaryotic LSU rRNA". The stretch from base 71 to 224 matches the Rfam family "5.8S ribosomal RNA". Lineage: Eukaryota; Fungi; Ascomycota; Leotiomycetes; Helotiales. The record is from RNAcentral.